GGCCCUACGGGGCGCAGCAGGCGCGAAAACUUUACAAUGCGGGCAACCGUGAUAAGGGAACCUCGAGUGCCCGUAAAUGCAGGCUGUUCAGGUGCCUAAAACACACCUGAAGAAAGGGCCGGGCAAGACCGGUGCCAGCCGCCGCGGUAAUACCGGCGGCUCGAGUGGUGGCCGCUUUUAUUGGGCUUAAAGCGUUCGUAGCUGGGUUGUUAAGUCUCUUGGGAAAUCUGGCGGCUUAACCGUCAGGCGUCUAAGGGAUACUGGCAAUCUUGGAACCGGGAGAGGUGAGGGGUACUUCGGGGGUAGGAGUGAAAUCCUGUAAUCCUCGAGGGACCACCUGUGGCGAAGGCGCCUCACCAGAACGGCUUCGACAGUGAGGGACGAAAGCUGGGGGAGCAAACCGGAUUAGAUACCCGGGUAGUCCCAGCCGUAAACUAUGCGCGUUAGGUGUAUCGGUGACCACGAGUUACCGAGGUGCCGAAGGGAAACCGUGAAACGUGCCGCCUGGGAAGUACGGUCGCAAGGCUGAAACUUAAAGGAAUUGGCGGGGGAGCACCACAACGGGUGGAGCUUGCGGUUUAAUUGGAUUCAACGCCGGAAAUCUUACCGG
Molecule: ribosomal RNA, 610 nt
Filed under: uncultured archaeon
Lineage: Archaea
Description: bacterial SSU rRNA
Rfam family: Archaeal small subunit ribosomal RNA
Source: RNAcentral